This 645-nucleotide ribosomal RNA is filed under the name Lysinibacillus sp. RNAcentral describes it as "bacterial SSU rRNA". It matches the Rfam family "Bacterial small subunit ribosomal RNA", at positions 50 to 677 of the family's 1533-position model. The record is from RNAcentral. Lineage: Bacteria; Bacillati; Bacillota; Bacilli; Caryophanales; Bacillaceae.
UGUAUCUGCAGUCUAGCGAACAGAAAAGGAGCUUGCUCCUUUGACGUUAGCGGCGGACGGGUGAGUAACACGUGGGCAACCUACCCUAUAGUUUGGGAUAACUCCGGGAAACCGGGGCUAAUACCGAAUAAUCUCUUUUACUUCAUGGUGAAAGACUGAAAGACGGUUUCGGCUGUCGCUAUAGGAUGGGCCCGCGGCGCAUUAGCUAGUUGGUGAGGUAACGGCUCACCAAGGCCACCAUGCGUAGCCGACCUGAGAGGGUGAUCGGCCACCCUGGGACUGAGACACGGCCCAAACUCCUACGGGAGGCAGCAGUAGGGAAUCUUCCACAAUGGGCGAAAGCCUGAUGGAGCAACGCCGCGUGAGUGAAGAAGGUUUUCGGAUCGUAAAACUCUGUUGUAAGGGAAGAACAAGUACAGUAGUAACUGGCUGUACCUUGACGGUACCUUAUUAGAAAGCCACGGCUAACUACGUGCCAGCAGCCGCGGUAAUACGUAGGUGGCAAGCGUUGUCCGGAAUUAUUGGGCGUAAAGCGCGCGCAGGCGGUCCUUUAAGUCUGAUGUGAAAGCCCACGGCUCAACCGUGGAGGGUCAUUGGAAACUGGGGGACUUGAGUGCAGAAGAGGAAAGUGGAAUUCCAAGACUG